RNAcentral lists this non-coding RNA (105 nucleotides) under Candidatus Brocadia. Its description in RNAcentral is "c-di-GMP sequence". It matches the Rfam family "c-di-GMP-I-GGC riboswitch aptamer". Lineage: Bacteria; Pseudomonadati; Planctomycetota; Candidatus Brocadiia; Candidatus Brocadiales; Candidatus Brocadiaceae. The record is from RNAcentral.
CACGAUAAGGGCAAACCCUGAGUGAUCAGGGGACGCAAAGUAACAGGGUCUUCCGCAUAUUUCCAGCAAAGACAGGAAAAUAGAAAGAUAGCCUUACUGCCGGAG